This is an RNA transcript of Papaver somniferum (opium poppy), 1873 nucleotides long. It is a transcript of the gene named acidic leucine-rich nuclear phosphoprotein 32-related protein 1-like, with no coding region annotated. The record is from RefSeq and is a predicted model, not a curated record. NCBI's taxonomy places the organism in Eukaryota, Viridiplantae, Streptophyta, Magnoliopsida, Ranunculales, Papaveraceae. The transcript is spliced from 7 exons.
AAGUGUUAGAGAACUUUGACUCUUUGAAAAAAAACUCUCUCUCCAUCAAAUUCUCACUUUCUCUCUCCAUCUUCCCCCAAAUUUUUUGAUUUCCAAUUUUUUUAUUUUCUAAAAAAAUUAGGGUUUCGAAUUUGAUAGUCAGGGUUUGAAUUAGAGAAAAGUGAUGGGAAUUAGAGGUAAUGAUGAAGGAGAAAUAGAUAAAGAGAAAGAAGAUAUUGGUAGGGUUAUGAAUGGUAAAGCUGAAAUUAGGUUUAGGAAUGGUUAUGAUGAGAUCAAUCAUCAUCAUCAAAAUAUUGAUACUAAGAUAGAUUCUGGUGGCGGUUGUGGUGUAGAAGGUGGAGAUAAUAAUAAUCAUCAUCAAAAUAAUCAUCAUCAUAAUAAUAAUAAUACUGAAGAGGAGGAUGAUGUGGUUUCUGUGAGUGAUGGUGGAGAUAAUAAUAGUGAAGAAGAGGAUGUGGUUUCUGUUAGUGGUGGAGAUGAGGAGGAGGAUGAAGAGGAAGAUGAUGAAGUAGAUGAAGGAGAAGAGGUUUUGACUGGUGCUGGUGCUGCUCCUGUUGUUAUUCCUGCUCCUCAAGUUAUUUCUGUUAUUGAUGUGGAUGCUGAUGACGAGGAAGAUGAGGAUGAAGAAGGUGGUGUUGAUGAUGAAGAAGAGCAGGACGACGAGGAUGAUGAAGAUGAUGAUGAGGAGGAUUUGGGAACAGAAUACCUUGUUCGUCCAGUAGCUCGCGCAGAAGAAGAAGAUGAUGACGACGAUGAUGAUGUGUACGAGGAGGAUGAUGAUGAGAACCAGGAGGAAGUCGAAGAUGAUGAGGAGGAUUUGGGUAAAGAAAGUCCUGUAGGUCGUGCAGAGGCAGAAGAUGAUGACGAUGUUUAUGAGGAGGAGGAUAUCGAGAAUGAGGAGGAAGUGGAAGAUGAUGAGGUGGAUUUGGGAACAGAGAGUCCAGUAGGUCGUGCAGAAGAUGAUGAUGAUGUUUAUGAGGAGGAGGAUCUUGAGAACGAGGAGGAAGUCGAAGAUGAUGAGGAGGAAAUGGGGACCGAAAGUCCAGUUGCUCACGCAGAAGAUGAUGAUAAUGUUUAUGAGGAGGAAGAUCUUGAGAACGAAGAGGAAGUCGAGGAUGAUGAGGAGGAUAUAGCAGCAGAGUACCUUGUCCGUCCAAUAGGUCGCAAUGAAGAUGCGCAAGAUGCUAGUGAUUUUGAAUUAGUUGAGGAGAUUGGUGAAGAAGAGGAUGAGAUUCCAGAAGAGGAUGAUGAUGAAGGUGUGGUAAGUGCUGGAAAUGGAGAGGUUUCAACAAAGAGAAAAAGGUCAAGUGACGACGACUCUGAUGAGAAUGACGAUGAUGACUCUGAUGACGAUGGUGGUGAAAACUAUGAGAGAGCGCCCAAGCGGUAGGAUUUGGCCCUCGAGGUUUGUUGAGAGACAAUACACAGUCAGCUGAAUGUCUCUCCUCCGACCUCGAGCACACCUCUUGUAGAAAGUACAGGUGCAAGAAGAAACAUCAAAGCAGGCUCAGAAUGGGGUCAUGGUCCCUAAAUGCGGAAAGCCGUGCUUUGUUAGCUGUCAUCUAAAGGAUGAAAAUGGAAUCAAUCACCUUUUUCCUGUAUCUAUUGUGAUUGCAAAAUGUUAGUGGCAGCUAUCUCAAGUUAUUCGUUUGACCUUCUUGCAGUGUCCGUAGUGAUUAAAACUCUUUUAGCUCUUUCUCCUGCUACUAUCUGUAAAUUUAUCCCUUGAAAUUAGAAUUUCCAAUACUCUCUGUAUGAUCUGUUGGCUAGAGAAGCCCGUAUAGUCGAAAGUUAAAAAAAUCUUGAUCUGAUCUGCUGGAUCUUUCUGUAGAAACAUUCUGUUCUUGCUCAAAUGGAUACGGUGAUGUUCCCA